GGGCCCGCACAAGCGGUGGAGCAUGUGGUUUAAUUCGAUGCAACGCGAAGAACCUUACCAGGGCUUGACAUACUACAAAUUCUUUGGAAACAGAGAAGUGCCUUCGGGAAUGUAGAUACAGGUGGUGCAUGGCUGUCGUCAGCUCGUGUCGUGAGAUGUUGGGUUAAGUCCCGCAACGAGCGCAACCCUUAUUUUUAGUUACCAAUUCGUUGGGUUCUCUAGAAAGACUGCCGGUGACAAACCGGAGGAAGGUGAGGAUGACGUCAAGUCAGCAUGCCCCUUAUGUCCUGGGCUACACACGUGCUACAAUGGUUAAGACAAAGAGUCGCUAGCUUGCAAGAGUCAGCUAAUCUCAUAAACUUAGCCUAAGUUCAGAUUGUAGGCUGCAACUCGCCUACAUG
RNAcentral lists this ribosomal RNA (401 nucleotides) under uncultured bacterium. RNAcentral describes it as "bacterial SSU rRNA". It matches the Rfam family "Bacterial small subunit ribosomal RNA", at positions 917 to 1322 of the family's 1533-position model. The record is from RNAcentral.